Molecule: ribosomal RNA, 529 nt
Filed under: uncultured bacterium
Lineage: Bacteria
Description: bacterial SSU rRNA
Rfam family: Bacterial small subunit ribosomal RNA
Source: RNAcentral
GACGAACGCUGGCGGCGUGCCUAAUACAUGCAAGUCGAACGAGAAAUUCUUACACCGGAUGCUUGCAUCCACCGUAAGAUUUCGAGUGGCGGACGGGUGAGUAACACGUGGGUAACCUGCCCAAAAGAAGGGGAUAACAUUUGGAAACAAGUGCUAAUACCGUAUAACCAUGAUGACCGCAUGGUCAUGAUGUAAAAGGUGGUUUUGCUAUCGCUUUUGGAUGGACCCGCGGCGUAUUAACUAGUUGGUAAGGUAACGGCUUACCAAGGUGAUGAUACGUAGCCGAACUGAGAGGUUGAUCGGCCACAAUGGGACUGAGACACGGCCCAUACUCCUACGGGAGGCAGCAGUAGGGAAUCUUCCACAAUGGGCGCAAGCCUGAUGGAGCAACGCCGCGUGAAUGAAGAAGGUCUUCGGAUCGUAAAACUCUGUUGUUAGAGAAGAACAAGGACGUUAGUAACUGAACGUCCCCUGACGGUAUCUAACCAGAAAGCCACGGCUAACUACGUGCCAGCCGCCGCCGUAACAC